This 931-nucleotide ribosomal RNA is filed under the name uncultured bacterium. RNAcentral's name for it is "bacterial SSU rRNA". It matches the Rfam family "Bacterial small subunit ribosomal RNA", at positions 9 to 948 of the family's 1533-position model. The record is from RNAcentral.
GAGUUUGAUCAUGGCUCAGAGCGAACGCUGGCGGCGUGCUUAACACAUGCAAGUCGAGUGCGCGCCUGUAGCAAUACAGGUGGCGCACGGCGCACGGGUGCGUAACACGUGGGUAAUCUGCCCUUCGAUGGGGAAUAACUCCGGGAAACCGAAGCUAAUUCCGCAUAACAUUCCUUGAACCUCGGUUUGGGGAUUCAAAGCCGUAAGGCGUCGGAGGAGGAACCCGCGCACGAUUAGCUAGUUGGUAGGGUAACGGCCUACCAAGGCUUUGAUCGUUAGCUGGUCUGAGAGGAUGGCCAGCCACACUGGAACUGAGACACGGUCCAGACUCCUACGGGAGGCAGCAGUGGGGAAUCUUGCACAAUGGGCGAAAGCCUGAUGCAGCGACGCCGCGUGGGGGAUGAAGCUUCUCGGAGUGUAAACCCCUUUCGACCCGGACGAAUGCCCCGCAAGGGGACUGACGGUACGGGUAUAAGAAGCCCCGGCUAACUACGUGCCAGCAGCCGCGGUAAGACGUGGGGGGCCAGCGUUGCUCGGAAUUACUGGGUGUAAAGGGUUCGUAGGCGGUGUGGCAAGUCGGGAGUGAAAUCUCUGGGCUUAACUCAGAGACUGCUUCCGAAACUGCUGUGCUUGAGUGUGGGAGAGGCGCGUGGAAUUGCAGGUGUAGCGGUGAAAUGCGUAGAUAUCUGCAGGAACACCCGUGGCGAAAGCGGCGCGCUGGACCACUACUGACGCUGAGGAACGAAAGCUAGGGAGCAAACGGAUUAGAUACCCUGGUAGUCCUAGCCCUAACGAUCAGGACUUGGGGUGCCGCACGUUCGUGCGUCGUCCCGGAGCUAACGCGUUAAGUCCUGCACUGGGGAGUACGUCCGCAGACUGAACUCAAAGGAAUUGACGGGGCCCGCACCAGCGGUUGGACACAUGGUGAUCA